Molecule: non-coding RNA, 70 nt
Organism: Schistocephalus solidus
Lineage: Eukaryota; Metazoa; Platyhelminthes; Cestoda; Diphyllobothriidea; Diphyllobothriidae
Source: Rfam
GGGCUCGUGGCUCAAUGGUAGAGCGUUCGACUCAAUUACCAAAGGUUGCGGGUUCGAAUCCCGUGGUCCA